AUGGCGGCGUUCGGCGGCAACGGGUGCUGCUACUCGUCGGGGUCGGAGGACGAGGAGGAGGAGGGGGCCGAGGGGUACCGGAAGGGCGGCUACCACGCCGCGCGCCCCGGGGACCGCUUCGCCGGCGGCAGGUUCGUCGCGCAGCGGAAGCUCGGCUGGGGCAACUUCUCCACCGUCUGGCUCGCCUACGACACCCUCCUCAGCAGAUUCGUGGCGCUCAAGAUCCAGAAGAGCGCGAGGGACUACGCGCACGCCGCGCUCCACGAGAUCGAGCUGCUGUCCGCGGCGGCCAAGGGCGACCCCACCAAUUCCAAGUGCGUCAUCCAGCUGCUGGACCAUUUCAAGCACGCCGGCCCCAACGGCAAGCACAUUUGCCUGGUCACCGAGUUCCUCGGCGACAGCCUGCUGCGGCUCAUACGGUACAACCGGAACAAGGGCAUCGGGCUGAGCAGGGUGCGGGAGAUUUGCCGGUCGGUGCUGACCGGCCUCGAUUACAUGCACAGAGAGCUCGGCAUUAUCCACACCGAUUUGAAGCCGGAGAAUGUCCUCCUAGUGUCGACGAUAAACCCGUCCAAGGACCCCGUGCGCUCGAGGCUCACCCCGAUUCUCAAGAGGCCAGAGGGGAACCAGUACCGCACGCCGUCAAUCAGUUUCAGCGAGAAGAUGCUUAAGACGCGGGCGAGGCGCGCCGUGGCGAAGAUUCUGCAGAGGCGGGUGUCGCUCGGUGGGUUCACGGCAGACAUGGUUAAGGAGAGAAGCCUGGAUGGCAUUAGCAUGAAGUGCAAGAUUGUCGAUUUCGGGAAUGCCUGCUGGGCUGAUCAGCAGGGUGAUGGUGUGAUACAGACAAGGCAGUAUAGGGCACCCGAGGUUAUCAUCGGUUCUGGCUAUUCUUAUUCUGCCGAUAUGUGGUCGUUCGCCUGUAUAGCGUUUGAGCUUGCCACUGGUGACAUGCUGUUUGCUCCCAGCACUUGCCAAAGUUGCAGUGAAGAUGAGGAUCACCUGGCUCUGAUGAUGGAAACCCUCGGAAAGAUGCCCAAGAAGAUUGCCACCUCAGGCACCCGUUCCAAGGAUUACUUCAACCGGUACGGAGACCUGAAGAGGGUCAAAAGAAUGAGGUUCUGGCCUCUAGAACGCGUGCUAGUCGAGAGGUACGGCUUCACCGAGCCGGACGCCAAAGGGCUCGCCGACUUCCUCCGCCCGAUUCUCGAUUUUGAUCCGGAGAACAGGCCGACCGCCGCCGAGUGCCUGAAGCACGCAUGGCUCAACAACUGA
RNAcentral lists this ribosomal RNA (1272 nucleotides) under Triticum aestivum (bread wheat). RNAcentral's name for it is "partial small subunit ribosomal RNA". Lineage: Eukaryota; Viridiplantae; Streptophyta; Magnoliopsida; Poales; Poaceae. The record is from RNAcentral.